CUCCACCCCCGCCCCCGCCUCCCCCUCCAGUCUGGAGUUGUCCUGAAGAGUUCACAAUUCAGAUACCACUAGUACCCGAACCAUGCGAGUACACAUUAUCAACAGAUGCCACCAGCAGCUCACUACCAAUUGGCAAUAUCAUAGAUAAGACACUGCAGGGCGAUUGGAAUAUAAUCAAGGCCAUGUCUGUGACCGGAUCCGAGAUAUGUAAACCUGGUGACGUAUACGAUGUCGUUUUAUGUAGUCCAACGGAAAACUGCGCAUGCUGUACAGGGUGGUGUAGAGGUAGAUGUGCUAGUAUGGGCAGUUCCGUUAGUGAUCAAACAUGUGAACCGUUUAUGAACCCCUCCGGUUCUCCUAAUUUAAGAUGUGAUUGUUGUUGCAAACCACCUUCAUCUCCAUCUCCAUCUCCAUCGCCAUCCCCCUCGCCCUCGCCAGAUUCAUCUCCGUCACCGUCUCCAUAUUCAUCUCCUCCAUCUCCAUCCCCUCCGACCUUAAGUUGUCUACCGAAGUUCAAAAUUCAAUUACCAGGAAUGCCAGAACCAUGCAAAUACACACUUUCUUCAACAUCAUCAUCAUUAUCUUCGAAAACAACAUAUGCUGCUUCACUGCUAAACGUUACUUAGUGGUGCUAUUAUUGCGCACUUGGCUAGCUACAUGCUACUAGAACUGAUGAUUUUAAGAACAAUCAAUUGAAUAUAUCUGAACCGAGAUGAAUUCUGAAAAUUUAAGUUGAUGAGAUUCAUAUUCAAAUUCUCUUCAGAUUUAUUUUGCACUAUACCUUACGUUAUCAUUUAAACAACUAAGGAAUGACCCGUGCCGUAAAGGUACGAGCUAUUUCUCAUUGUUCC
Long non-coding RNA from Papaver somniferum (opium poppy), 851 nucleotides. RefSeq lists it as uncharacterized. The record is from RefSeq and is a predicted model, not a curated record. The transcript is spliced from 2 exons. NCBI's taxonomy places the organism in Eukaryota, Viridiplantae, Streptophyta, Magnoliopsida, Ranunculales, Papaveraceae.